This 253-nucleotide ribosomal RNA is filed under the name uncultured bacterium. RNAcentral describes it as "partial 16S ribosomal RNA". It matches the Rfam family "Bacterial small subunit ribosomal RNA", at positions 524 to 776 of the family's 1533-position model. The record is from RNAcentral.
GACGGGGGGGGCAAGUGUUCUUCGGAAUUACUGGGCGUAAAGGGCUUGUAGGCGGCCAACUAAGUCCGACGUGAAAUCCCCAGGCUUAACCUGGGAACUGCGUCGGAUACUGGAUGGCUUGAAUUCGGGAGAGGGAUGCAGAAUUCCAGGUGUAGCGGUGAAAUGCGUAGAUAUCUGGAGGAAUACCGGUGGCGAAGGCGGCAUCCUGGACCGACAUUGACGCUGAGGAGCGAAAGCUAGGGGAGCAAACGGG